GGGCGGGACACGUGGUAUCCUGUCUGAAUAUGGGGGGACCAUCCUCCAAGGCUAAAUACUCCUGACUGACCGAUAGUGAACCAGUACCGUGAGGGAAAGGCGAAAAGAACCCCGGCGAGGGGAGUGAAAAAGAACCUGAAACCGUGUACGUACAAGCAGUGGGAGCCUCUUUAUGGGGUGACUGCGUACCUUUUGUAUAAUGGGUCAGCGACUUAUAUUCUGUAGCAAGGUUAACCGAAUAGGGGAGCCGAAGGGAAACCGAGUCUUAACUGGGCGUUAAGUUGCAGGGUAUAGACCCGAAACCCGGUGAUCUAGCCAUGGGCAGGUUGAAGGUUGGGUAACACUAACUGGAGGACCGAACCGACUAAUGUUGAAAAAUUAGCGGAUGACUUGUGGCUGGGGGUGAAAGGCCAAUCAAACCGGGAGAUAGCUGGUUCUCCCCGAAAGCUAUUUAGGUAGCGCCUCGUGAAUUCAUCUCCGGGGGUAGAGCACUGUUUCGGCAAGGGGGUCAUCCCGACUUACCAACCCGAUGCAAACUGCGAAUACCGGAGAAUGUUAUCACGGGAGACACACGGCGGGUGCUAACGUCCGUCGUGAAGAGGGAAACAACCCAGACCGCCAGCUAAGGUCCCAAAGUCAUGGUUAAGUGGGAAACGAUGUGGGAAGGCCCAGACAGCCAGGAUGUUGGCUUAGAAGCAGCCAUCAUUUAAAGAAAGCGUAAUAGCUCACUGGUCGAGUCGGCCUGCGCGGAAGAUGUAACGGGGCUAAACCAUGCACCGAAGCUGCGGCAGCGACACUAUGUGUUGUUGGGUAGGGGAGCGUUCUGUAAGCCUGUGAAGGUGUGCUGUGAGG
This 852-nucleotide ribosomal RNA is filed under the name Escherichia coli. RNAcentral describes it as "partial 23S ribosomal RNA". It matches the Rfam family "Bacterial large subunit ribosomal RNA", at positions 415 to 1268 of the family's 2925-position model. Lineage: Bacteria; Pseudomonadati; Pseudomonadota; Gammaproteobacteria; Enterobacterales; Enterobacteriaceae. The record is from RNAcentral.